ACUACCCGGGUAUCUAAUCCUGUUUGCUCCCCACGCUUUCGAUAUGCAUGAGCGUCAGUGUUAUCCCAGGAGGCUGCCUUCGCCAUCGGUGUUCCCUCCGCAUAUCUACGCAUUUCACUGCUACACGCGAAUUCCACCUCCCUCUGACACACUCUAGCUCGGUAGUUAAAAAUCAGUUCAAAGUUAAGCUCUAUAGGAUUUCACAUCUUUCUUUCCGAACCGCCUGUACGCUUUACGCCCGGUAAUUCCGAUUAACGCUUGCGCCCCUACGUAUUACCGCGGCUGCUGGCGCGGUGCUGGUGCCCAGUAUUAAAUUCCGUCGAUUUGCACGGGUAUUAUCCGUGCUACGUUUUCUUCCUGCCAAAAGUGCUUUACAACCCGAAAAUCCUUCAUCGCACACGCGGGAUGGCUGGAUCGGGAGUUUCCCCCAUUGUCCGGGAAUUUCUACUGCUGCGCCCCGUAUUU
Molecule: unclassified non-coding RNA, 465 nt
Filed under: uncultured Bordetella sp.
Lineage: Bacteria; Pseudomonadati; Pseudomonadota; Betaproteobacteria; Burkholderiales; Alcaligenaceae
Description: partial 16S-23S ribosomal RNA intergenic spacer
Source: RNAcentral